GUUCACGCCAUUCUCCUGCCUCAGCCUCCCGAGUAGCUGGGACUACAGGCACCUGCCACCACGCCUGGCUAAUUUUUUUGUAUUUUUAGUAGAGACAGGGUUUCACCAUGUUAGCCAGGAUGGUCUCGAUCUCCUGACCUCGUGAUCCACCCGCCUCAGCCUCCCAAAGUGCUGGGAUUACAGGCGGAGCCACCACGCCAGGCCGGAUAUCUGAAACAUUCUUAAACAUCAGUAAGGAACAGAUAAACCACGUGCCAAAAAAAUGCACAAAAACUAUGGACAGGUUAUCAUACAUACAAACCCUAAUGGCCAUAUGGAAAGAUGGCGAACCUCAUUAAUAAUCAGGGAAAAGUAAUAAGGUACAUUUCAGACACUAAAAAGUAAUAAGGUACAUUACAUACACAUUUGGCAACAGCAAAAAUGUUAACAUCUGACAAAAUCCAUUUUGUCUGGAAUGUGGAAGAGUUGGCAUGCAUAUUGCCACUGGUGAGUUUGUACUUUAUUACUUAUACUUUGAAAAAUUAUUUGACAAUGUCCACUUGAAAAUGUCUGUUGAAGGGAUGCAUGUUCUUUUAUAGAGCAAUAACACUGCUAGGUUCAUAUCCUAGAGAAAAUCCCAGACGUGUAAACAAGAUUUGUGUGAGAAUGUUUGCAGCAGCAGUGUUUAUAAAGAUGAAUAAACGGGUAACAUCCUAAAUGUCCUACAACAGGACAGUGAAUAUGGUCAGCUGUAAACUCUUACAAGGCACAGAGCCCUUGCCUAAACACUGUGCUAAGAGAGUAAACUCUAGCCUGCUCUCACCACACCAGGCCACCUUCUAAAGGCAGCCCCAGCUCCCAAGCUAAGUCUUUGCUAAAGAAAAUGCAAUGGUCUGGCGCAGUGGCUUGGCUCCCUCCUGUAAUCCCAGCACUUUGGGAGGCCAAGGUGGGUGGAUCAUGAGGUCAGGAGACCGAGACCAUCCUGGCUAACAUGGUGAAACCCCGUCUCUACUAAAAAUACAAAAAAUUAGCCAGGUGUGGUGGCACACACUUGUAAUCCCAGCUACUCGGGAGGCUGAGGCAGGAGAAUAGCUUGAACCCCGGAGGUGGAGGUUACAGUGAGCCGAGAUCGCACCACUGCACUCCAGCCUGGGUGACAGAGCAAAACUCCAUCCCAUAAAAAGAAAAUGCAAUAAUGCCAAACUGCAAAAUGUAUAUUGUUCAACCCAUCUUGCCAAACCAUUUUCAGCAAUUCUUCACCUAAUUCCCCUUCUAUAAUUUUCCAUUUUCACAUACCCCCCUUAGUCCUUUUUUUUGUUCCCCUUUUGCACUUCCCAACAAUCCUUUUUUAUUCUUUAUCUGUUUUCCCCUUAAAAACCUCAGUCAUCUUCCUCUUAGUUGGAGUUGAGCUAGGAUUUAUACUGGAGUCUCUCUCCCCUACAGCAGCAGUAUGAAUAAAAUAUCUGUCUUGCUACCUUUAAUAA
Molecule: long non-coding RNA, 1463 nt
Organism: Pan troglodytes (chimpanzee)
Lineage: Eukaryota; Metazoa; Chordata; Mammalia; Primates; Hominidae
Exons: 2
Source: RefSeq, a predicted model, not a curated record